Non-coding RNA from Sus scrofa (pig), 555 nucleotides. Lineage: Eukaryota; Metazoa; Chordata; Mammalia; Artiodactyla; Suidae. The record is from RefSeq and is a predicted model, not a curated record.
UUGGGCUCCCACCUGCAGUUCUGCGAGCCUCUUGAGGAGUGAAAGUCCUGGGAAGCGUCCCCACCCUCCAGAGAGGGCCACGUCUGGUGGCUCUUGGGUCCAGUGUCUUUGGUUUUGGUAUCAGGGUGACAGUGGCCUCGUAGAAUGAGUUCGAGAGUGUUCCUUCCUCUUCAAUUUUUGGAAGCGUUUGGAAAAGACAGAGCCCACUGUUACCAAGGAACUGGUCCGUGGAUUGAGACUAGUUUUCCACACUGACCAAAGAUCUGGGUUCACCGAGCUGCUGGAUGGGUUUGGGGGCCCCAAGCAGUCACUCAGCUUCUUCGCUUGCCUGUCCCCUGGGAAAGAUGGGCAAGAGAAAGCCCUCAAAGCUCUGGGCAGUGAAGGGAGCCCAGACCCUUGCCCCCGACCUUAAGAAAAACUCUUACAUCUCAUGCCUCUUCCUCCUGAGUUCAGUCUGCCCGGAAUGGCCGUCCCUGCCUGCUCUGCCAGUGAGCUCCUCUCCCUCCUUCAGGUCCCAGCUCGGACGUGUGUAGUGAUAAUUAAAAACAAUCAUCA